Molecule: transfer RNA, 69 nt
Filed under: Eutetrapha metallescens
Lineage: Eukaryota; Metazoa; Arthropoda; Insecta; Coleoptera; Cerambycidae
Also listed under: 2 other names
Description: tRNA-Met
Rfam family: tRNA
About the family: Transfer RNA (tRNA) molecules are approximately 80 nucleotides in length.
Source: RNAcentral
AAAAAGAUAAGCUAAUUAAGCUACUGGGUUCAUACCCCAUUUAUGAAAGUCUUAAUCUUUCUCUUUUUA